CCUGAUGGCAAUAGCAAGUUGGUACCACCUGAUCCAUUUCGAACUCAGAAGUGAAACGACUUAGCGCCGAAAAUAGUUGGGCAACUGCCCUGCAAAGAUAGGACACCGUCAGGC
Molecule: ribosomal RNA, 114 nt
Filed under: Gammaproteobacteria bacterium
Lineage: Bacteria; Pseudomonadati; Pseudomonadota; Gammaproteobacteria
Source: RNAcentral